RNAcentral lists this ribosomal RNA (467 nucleotides) under uncultured bacterium. RNAcentral describes it as "partial 16S ribosomal RNA". It matches the Rfam family "Bacterial small subunit ribosomal RNA", at positions 28 to 507 of the family's 1533-position model. The record is from RNAcentral.
GAUGAACGCUGGCGGCGUGCUUAACACAUGCAAGUCGAACGGAAAGGCCCAAGCUUGCUUGGGUACUCGAGUGGCGAACGGGUGAGUAACACGUGGGUGAUCUGCCCUGCACUUCGGGAUAAGCCUGGGAAACUGGGUCUAAUACCGGAUAGGACCACUUCUUGGAUGUUGUGGUGGAAAGUUUUGUCGGUGUGGGAUGAGCUCGCGGCCUAUCAGCUUGUUGGUGGGGUAAUGGCCUACCAAGGCGUUGACGGGUAGCCGGCCUGAGAGGGUGUACGGCCACAUUGGGACUGAGAGACGGCCCAGACUCCUACGGGAGGCAGCAGUGGGGAAGAUUGCACAAUGGGCGCAAGCCUGAUGCAGCGACGCCGCGUGGGGGAUGACGGCCUUCGGGUUGUAAACUCCUUUCGCUAGGGACGAAGCGUUUUGUGACGGUACCUGGAGAAGAAGCACCGGCUAACUACGUG